ACCCCAGUGGUCUAAUGGAUAAGGCACUGGCCUUCAAAGCCAGGGAGUGUGGGUUCAAAUCCCACCUGAGGUG
This is a non-coding RNA of Thalassophryne amazonica, 73 nucleotides long. NCBI's taxonomy places the organism in Eukaryota, Metazoa, Chordata, Actinopteri, Batrachoidiformes, Batrachoididae. The record is from the annotation of a RefSeq genome assembly.